CGGGAUGUAGCCCCGCCAACGGCGGGGCACUACGUUCGGGACGUAGGGGUCGCUGGUUCGAAUCCAGUCAUCCCGA
RNAcentral lists this transfer RNA (76 nucleotides) under Chitinophagales bacterium. RNAcentral's name for it is "tRNA-Pro". It matches the Rfam family "tRNA". From Rfam's summary of the family: Transfer RNA (tRNA) molecules are approximately 80 nucleotides in length. Their secondary structure includes four short double-helical elements and three loops (D, anti-codon, and T loops). Lineage: Bacteria; Pseudomonadati; Bacteroidota; Chitinophagia; Chitinophagales. The record is from RNAcentral.